UACGUAGGUGGCGAGCGUUGUCCGGAAUUACUGGGUGUAAAGGGCGUGUAGGCGGGAGAGUAAGUCAGAUGUGAAAUACCAUGGCUCAACUGUGGGGGUGCAUCUGAAACUAUUUUUCUUGAGUGCUGGAGAGGAAAGCGGAAUUCCUAGUGUAGCGGUGAAAUGCGUAGAUAUUAGGAGGAACACCAGUGGCGAAGGCGGCUUUCUGGACAGUAACUGACGCUGAGGCGCGAAAGCGUGGGGAG
Molecule: ribosomal RNA, 245 nt
Filed under: uncultured Oscillospiraceae bacterium
Lineage: Bacteria; Bacillati; Bacillota; Clostridia; Eubacteriales; Oscillospiraceae
Description: partial 16S ribosomal RNA
Rfam family: Bacterial small subunit ribosomal RNA
Source: RNAcentral